CGGCGGACGGGUGAGUAACGCGUGGGUAACCUGCCUCAUACAGGGGGAUAACAGUUGGAAACGGCUGCUAAUACCGCAUAAGCGCACAGUACCGCAUGGUACCGUGUGAAAAACUCCGGUGGUAUGAGAUGGACCCGCGUCUGAUUAGCUAGUCGGUGGGGUAACGGCCUACCAAGGCGACGAUCAGUAGCCGACCUGAGAGGGUGACCGGCCACAUUGGGACUGAGACACGGCCCAA
This 238-nucleotide ribosomal RNA is filed under the name uncultured bacterium. RNAcentral's name for it is "partial 16S ribosomal RNA". It matches the Rfam family "Bacterial small subunit ribosomal RNA", at positions 96 to 334 of the family's 1533-position model. The record is from RNAcentral.